RNAcentral lists this signal recognition particle RNA (99 nucleotides) under Pseudomonadota bacterium. RNAcentral's name for it is "Proteobacteria bacterium (marine sediment metagenome) signal recognition particle sRNA small type". It matches the Rfam family "Bacterial small signal recognition particle RNA". From Rfam's summary of the family: The signal recognition particle (SRP) is a universally conserved ribonucleoprotein involved in the co-translational targeting of proteins to membranes. The record is from RNAcentral. Lineage: Bacteria; Pseudomonadati; Pseudomonadota.
AGCCGGGUCCUGCGCAACAAAAGGUUACAAACCCCGUCAGGUCCGGAAGGAAGCAGCGGUAGUAACCUCUUUUGUGUGCCGCAGGGUUGCCUGGCUAUC